This 391-nucleotide small RNA is filed under the name Pongo abelii (Sumatran orangutan). Its description in RNAcentral is "processed transcript". The record is from RNAcentral. Lineage: Eukaryota; Metazoa; Chordata; Mammalia; Primates; Hominidae.
CCUUGUGGUGGAACAUCGGACCCAUUCAAGAGGAAGGAUGAAAGCUCUAUAUAGGAACACGAUGUGAAUGGAAGAAACCUGUCAUUAUCCCCAAGAAAUUGAUUGGACAUGAGGAAACCACUCUAAGUGUGACCACUCUAAAGCAUUAGCAAUCAGUCAUUUCACUCUAGGGAGAAAUCAGAGCUGAAUUAUAGAGGAUAGGCUCUCUAGGAAACACCAGAAUUAUCAGUGAAGAAUAUAUUAAAUGGCUCACGGGCUACUGUAAAGCAUAUUUCUAUGGCUUGAGAGUAAAACUCCUAGAACCAGUUCCUGUUUCUGCAACAAGAUGUUCCUUUAGAGUCAAUGAGAACACACACAACCUACAAAUUCAUGCAGGGGACAUCCUGAAGUU